CAGCACUGUCUUUUUUCUCUCUUCUGCAUAUUCCUUACGAUUCACGCUCCCCGUGAAUCGAUAUCCUUUCACCUACUACUCACUCUCUCUGUUUCCCUUCAACUCUUCCCAUAGAUCCAGUCAAAAUUCAAACCCUAAACCCCGGUCAAACGACGACGUUUGAUUCAUCGUCGAUCCAGGUUUUUGAUCCGAAAAUCCAAGCUGGAGCAGUUGAAGACAAUUGGUAGGGAGCUCGCAAUGGGCUCCCAAGGAGGAUUUGGACAGUCAAAAGAGUUUCUUGACCUAAUUAAAUCAAUUGGAGAAGCCCGAUCUAAAGCUGAAGAAGAUCGAAUCGUGAUUAACGAGAUCGAAAUUCUCAAGAAACGAAUCAUUGAGCCUGAUAUACCUAAAAGGAAGAUGAAAGAGUAUAUAAUGAGAUCAGUGUAUGUUGAAAUGUUAGGACACGAUGCGUCAUUUGGGUAUAUACAUGCUGUCAAAAUGACGCAUGAUGAUAAUUUACAUCUUAAGCGUACUGGGUAUUUAGCCGUCACACUUUUUUUGAAUGAAGAUCAUGAUUUGAUUAUCUUGAUUGUGAAUACUAUUCAGAAAGACUUGAAAUCAGAUAAUUAUUUGGUAGUUUGUGCUGCAUUGAAUGCUGUUUGUAAGUUGAUUAAUGAGGAGACGAUUCCAGCUGUGUUGCCUCAGGUGGUGGAUUUGUUGGGGCAUUCAAAAGAAGCUGUUAGGAAAAAGGCUGUUAUGGCACUUCACCGGUUUCAUCAGAAAUCACCAUCUUCUGUUAGCCAUCUUGUCUCCAAUUUUAGAAAGAGGCUAUGUGACAAUGAUCCUGGUGUUAUGGGCUCUACACUAUGCCCUCUUUAUGAUCUUAUCUCAGAGGAUGUUAAUUCUUACAAGGAUUUGGUGGUCAGCUUUGUAAGCAUUCUAAAACAAGUAGCAGAGCGGAGAUUGCCCAAGAGUUAUGAUUAUCAUCAGAUG
This 972-nucleotide unclassified non-coding RNA is filed under the name Hevea brasiliensis (rubber tree). Lineage: Eukaryota; Viridiplantae; Streptophyta; Magnoliopsida; Malpighiales; Euphorbiaceae. The record is from RNAcentral.